Taeniopygia guttata (zebra finch) is the source of this 277-nucleotide non-coding RNA. The record is from RefSeq and is a predicted model, not a curated record. NCBI's taxonomy places the organism in Eukaryota, Metazoa, Chordata, Aves, Passeriformes, Estrildidae.
ACUAUGCACUGUACCAGCAAUAUUCAGUCUUGAACCCAAACACAGAAAAACAAAUGGAUCUUCUUUGUCUACCAGAAAAGGAGAUUUUAGAUGCAGUAAGAGCACACAACCACUUCUUACUGCCUGCAAUUGCACUGUGCUCUGUAAACUGAAUCCAUUUGUCCCAUCCUGUCACCACAGUGCCAGGGCAAGCAGAGAAUCCGGAACCUGAGGAGCAUAGUUACAAGAGAGGGUCCCCCAAGGACAUGGGAGCAAUACUGAGCUAUGAGAAAAAGAG